CCUGGUCUGUGGCCUUCAGUUUCACAGGCUGGUGUUUUUACACUUUCUCCUCCCUACUCUGUUAGAAGAGACAGAAGACAUAUAGGAGGUCACAAUGGCAGAAAUGCCCAUCCCCAGGAAUGUGUCACACGUUCAGGGGCCAAGCCUGCAAGGGGCUCCAGAAAGGACAUAAGGAGAGGAAGCGUGGAUUUCAUAAGUGCACGGCUUCCCGAGGGACCUGCAUUCAAGAUCCCUGAACUCAUUUAUACUCAUAAUGACUGGUAUGUUUGAUAAAAGAAAUCAGAGUCAUUACCUCCAUAACUUGGGGGAAAAAUCUCAUUAUCUUUGAAUAAAAUCAACCUGUAUUUAUCCUGGUACAGAGCCAUCUCCAAAAUGCA
Suricata suricatta (meerkat) is the source of this 377-nucleotide long non-coding RNA. RefSeq lists it as uncharacterized. The record is from RefSeq and is a predicted model, not a curated record. The transcript has 2 exons. Lineage: Eukaryota; Metazoa; Chordata; Mammalia; Carnivora; Herpestidae.